UGGGCGGGGCUACAGUGACAAGCGGGCUCGGCAGCAGCCACUGAUGCUAAGCUAGCAUCGCCAAUUGACAACACUUUCUCGACAAAGUCCUCUUUUUGUGGGACAACAAUCAUGGUUUCUCACUCCUUCGCCUUGCCGACGACCUGCUGUACCACGCUGUGGGCGCUGGUGGGGGUCGUGGCUCCCUUUUUUUAGUGCCAAAAGGACCGAAUGGAGGUAAAGAAAGUGGAGAAUGCUGUCACACCCGCCUCAGGUGAAGGUAAUGUAACCUUUGUAAACCGGACUUUCCAACCGAGGAUGGCAAGGCACGCAGUUGUAAACUGUCAGGUUCAAACACUGUUGACAUCUAUUAAACAAGACAAAAAGGCAAAGAAUCAAACAGAGACGGAGUUAAAUUUGGACUCAGAUCUGAGGAGAGACAUGGCCUCUGUACACCUUGCACAGUUCCUGCACCAAGUUCUGACGAAAAGGUUUUCGUCUCCUCUUUUAUUUAGAUAUUCAAUGUUUACGCAACAACACAUGUCAAAACAGGAAUGGGGAGCAUACACACAGUCACUGUUGUCGGUCACAUUGAAGACAAAAGAAGACGAUGUCUCGGGUCCGGCCUCGUCCUGGUCUCAGCAGAACAGGAAUGGGGAGUAUAUAAACAGUCAUUGUUUUCGGUCACAUUGAAGACAAAAGAAAGACGAUGCCUCGGGCUUGGGCUCGUCCUGGUUUCAGCUUCGGCAAAACAGGAAUGGGGAGUAUAUAAACAGUCAUUGUUUUCGGUCACAUUGAAGACAAAAGAAAGACGAUGCCUCGGGCCCGAGCUCCUCCUGGUCUCGGCUUCGGCAGGUCUUUGAGGACAAAAGAAAACCCCUCUCGUCGCAUUCCAAUGUACACAGCGGAAUUCCCCAAGACCUUGCUUGGUUGAAGAAGGACAGCUCUCAACUACUCAAUUAAAUAAAAGAGAUCUGAAAGUUU
Nerophis ophidion (straightnose pipefish) is the source of this 963-nucleotide long non-coding RNA. RefSeq lists it as uncharacterized. The transcript is spliced from 2 exons. NCBI's taxonomy places the organism in Eukaryota, Metazoa, Chordata, Actinopteri, Syngnathiformes, Syngnathidae. The record is from RefSeq and is a predicted model, not a curated record.